Pelobates cultripes (western spadefoot toad) is the source of this 238-nucleotide non-coding RNA. Lineage: Eukaryota; Metazoa; Chordata; Amphibia; Anura; Pelobatidae. The record is from the annotation of a GenBank genome assembly.
CUCACAAAUACAGACACAAAUGGCUGCACAUUCAUGGAAACACAAGUACACACUCAUACACAUUCAGGAAUACAUGCGGGUACACUCGCAGAUACAUGUAGGUAGGGUUAAAAAAAAAACGAAAUUCUUACGUCAUUAGUCUACUUUAUACAUGGAUUUCUUGAAUUUUUUGUCUGCUGUAUACAACAGCUUUGAAACACAACUCGGGAAGAGGUAGGAUAGUGCUGUUGACUUGAGG